UACAGAGGUCCCAAGCGUUGUUCGGAUUCACUGGGCGUAAAGGGUGCGUAGGCGGCUUGAUAAGUCUGAUGUGAAAUCCCGCAGCUUAACUGCGGAACUGCAUUGGAUACUGUUUGACUAGAGGAAUGGAGGGGAGACUGGAAUACUUGGUGUAGCAGUGAAAUGCGUAGAUAUCAAGUGGAACACCAGUGGCGAAGGCGGGUCUCUGGACAGUUCCUGACACUGAGACACGAAGGCCAGGGGAGCAAACGGG
This 253-nucleotide ribosomal RNA is filed under the name uncultured bacterium. Its description in RNAcentral is "partial 16S ribosomal RNA". It matches the Rfam family "Bacterial small subunit ribosomal RNA", at positions 524 to 776 of the family's 1533-position model. The record is from RNAcentral.